RNAcentral lists this ribosomal RNA (425 nucleotides) under uncultured bacterium. RNAcentral describes it as "bacterial SSU rRNA". It matches the Rfam family "Bacterial small subunit ribosomal RNA", at positions 355 to 771 of the family's 1533-position model. The record is from RNAcentral.
UGGGGAAUAUUGCGCAAUGGCCGAAAGGCUGACGCAGCGACGCCGCGUGUGGGAUGACGCCCUUGGGGGUGUAAACCACUGUCGGGGGGGACGAAUGCUCGGCCUCGAAUAGGGGACCGAGAGUGACGGUACCUCCAAAGGAAGCACCGGCGAAAUCCGUGCCAGCCGCCGCGGUAAUACGGAGGGUGCGAGCGUUGUCCGGAAUCACUGGGCGUAAAGCGCGCGUAGGCGGCCGCGUAAGUCACUUGUGAAAUCCCGGGGCUCAACUCCGGGGCUGCAUGUGAUACUGCACGGCUGGAGCUCGGUAGAGGCGAGUGGAAUUCCCGGUGUAGCGGUGGAAUGCGUAGAUAUCGGGAAGAACACCAGUGGCGAAGGCGGCUCGCUGGGCCGGUGCUGACGCUGGGGCGCGAAAGCGUGGGGAGCAA